This 248-nucleotide ribosomal RNA is filed under the name uncultured Planctomycetales bacterium. RNAcentral's name for it is "partial 16S ribosomal RNA". It matches the Rfam family "Bacterial small subunit ribosomal RNA", at positions 434 to 674 of the family's 1533-position model. The record is from RNAcentral. Lineage: Bacteria; Pseudomonadati; Planctomycetota; Planctomycetia; Planctomycetales.
GUCGGGAGUUAGGAAAUGCAGGUUGGUUAAUACCCAACCUGUUUGACAAAGGCCCCAAAGGAAGCCACGGCUAACUCUGUGCCAGCAGCCGCGGUAAUACAGAGGUGGCAAGCGUUGUUCGGUAUUAUUGGGCGUAAAGAGCACGUAGGUGGUUUUGUAAGUCAGAUGUGAAAGCCUUCUGUUCAAAGGAAGAACGGCAUCUGAAACUGCAGAUCUUGAGUGUAGGAGGGGAGAGUGGAACUUCUGGU